Molecule: ribosomal RNA, 465 nt
Filed under: uncultured bacterium
Lineage: Bacteria
Description: partial 16S ribosomal RNA
Rfam family: Bacterial small subunit ribosomal RNA
Source: RNAcentral
CCUACGGGAGGCAGCAGUAGGGAAUCUUCCACAAUGGGCGAAAGCCUGAUGGAGCAACGCCGCGUGGGUGAAGAAGGUCUUCGGAUCGUAAAACCCUGUUGUCAGAGAAGAAAGUGCGUGAGAGUAACUGUCCACGUUUCGACGGUAUCUAAACAGAAAGCCACGGCUAACUACGUGCCAGCAGCCGCGGUAAUACGUAGGUGGCAAGCGUUAUGCGGAUUUAUUGGGCGUAAAGGGAACGCAGGCGGUCUUUUAAGUCUGAUGUGAAAGCCUUGGGCUAAACCGGGGUAGUGCAUUGGAAACUGGGAGACUUGAGUGCAGAAGAGGAGAGUGGAACUCCAGGUGUAGCGGUGAAAUGCGUAGAUAUAUGGAAGAACAGCAGUGGCGAAGGCGACUAUCUGGUCUGCAACUGACGCUGAGGUUCGAAAGCGUGGGUAGCAAACAGGAUUAGAUACCCGUGUAGUC